UUUGCUUGCUUUUUUGUGUUUGUGCUGGGAUUGAAAGAGAACAAUUCAGGAAACAAAGCAAAAAUAGAACAAGAGCACAAAAAAAGCAGGCUCUGUAUGAAAGACAUAUCAUAUUAUUAAAAAUAAUAAAUGGAGACACCCAUUGUUAUAGGAUGGUACCAGCCUUUCCCAAAUAAACUUGUUUAACAAUGAUAGCAGUUAGGAUAAGGCAAAAAGAGUCUUUCCAUCACCAGACCCACAUCCCCAAGAAAGGAAGAAAACAUGGAAACCGUUCUGCCCAAUAUAAAGUGUAUUAAUAAUAAUGAAUAUAGAAAGUCAAAUCCUGGGAGCCUUACUCAUGCGAGUAGACCCAAGAGGCAAUCAGGAGUGGAUCUAUCAUUAGGGGGAGUUCCCCCGACGUCUCGUGAAGAAACCCGGCAGUGGAUUUCAAAAUGAUCCAGUUUGAUUCGCUUAGUACCUACGGACCUGUUUCAAUAGACUGGAGAGAUACUCACCAGAGUUUAAGGAAGUGCCUGGAUCGCCCAAUGGUCUUUGCAGCAUCCAUUUCCUCUGUGGAUUCCUAGCUUGCAUCCGAAGUAGCUCCCAGGCUAUCCUUGAAGUUAGCAUUUAUGGUACUGUAUCUCAUAUAAGAGGCUCUCCCACAGAAUUUUUUUCCAGGUUUUCAAGCAAAUUUCCCUGUGCCACAAUGUUAUGAUGGAAGGAUGCUGAAAUGACAGGCCUAGCAGACGCUUGUCUUAAUCAUCGGCUUCUUAAUUUAGUUGUAGUGCGGCGGUUUUGUGUGUGCGUGUGCGCGCAAGAGAAGCGCCUGACAACCUGCAGCUUCCUAAUGAGCGACGAGGCAGGGCUGCUGCAGCAAAGUAACACUUCCCUGGUGUGAAGACCUCUCACUGGGAAGUUUAGUUCACUACUGUUCUCGCAAACCUAAUCGUAUAACCUGUAACCAAAACGCACAGAAGAAGGAUACAACACGCUAAAUAGAGUAACUUCUAAUCACUUAAAUGUUAGCACCAUUACCAGCUGUUAGGGAUUAGAUGAGAGUUGGCUAGAGAGAGGACACCUAUACAUUACUGUAUAUAUGUAAAAAUAUCGGUCUAUUAUAGUAAUUAAUCCAUCAUCUAUCUAUCUAUCUUCAAAAUGUUUGACACAUAUUGUUGUUAGUGCAUUGUCACAUACACAUCUGAAAUCUCCUAUAAGCAAGAUAUCAGUGGAUGGUCAGGCUGGUUCGCAAGUAGCGCUUAAUUUAAUUGUUCGGGGAAUGUGAAACAAAUAAGGGAAUCGUACACCCACCAGGGCAAAUAUAGAGCGCUUGAUUGUAUUUAAUAUGUUAUUAUUUGGAUGUUAAAAUGAAGUGUUCUGACUCGUUUCAUGAAUGCAUGAUGUCAUCGAAGCCGGUUAUUAAACACUCUUCUUUAUUCAUGGCGGA
RNAcentral lists this long non-coding RNA (1423 nucleotides) under Gopherus agassizii (Agassiz's desert tortoise). Its description in RNAcentral is "lncRNA (ENSGAGG00000010602.1)". Lineage: Eukaryota; Metazoa; Chordata; Testudines; Testudinidae. The record is from RNAcentral.